This is a long non-coding RNA of Aquila chrysaetos chrysaetos, 1821 nucleotides long. RefSeq lists it as uncharacterized. The transcript has 3 exons. Lineage: Eukaryota; Metazoa; Chordata; Aves; Accipitriformes; Accipitridae. The record is from RefSeq and is a predicted model, not a curated record.
GCCUGGCACCUGUCUGCAGCUGAGAAGUACUUCUCCGACAGACUGUAUUCUGGUUCCACACUGAAGGUCCUAUCCGAUUAUUUUAGGAGGUGGAGGCACCUGUCUGGCCAGAGGGUCUCGGCAGCACGGAAAAGACCAGUCCCAAAGGAUACAGUGGAAAGCAAAUAGCUGAAGGAGCAUCACAGCUUGUAUAUGGCAGUGGGGGAAGUGGGCACAGGCUAAAGGAAAGGGAAAAAAGCCCAGGAAGGAAGGAAAGGUGAAGAAACAAUCCUGCAAGGGGGGGCAGGAGGAAGAAAGUGGGCAAGGGGGGUAGGAGAGAGAUGGAAAGAACUGCAGUGUGGUUGUGCCAGACCACAUUGCGCUGCUCAAAGCACACACAGGUGUAAGAGAAGGUAAGCUGUGAAGCCAGCACCCUGCACAAGUGUGUGACACAGGCACCGUAGCAACCUGAAGGCCUCGCUGCUUUGAGUUGCAGCAAUUGAAUACCAUCUGGCCACGCUGCACCCACAGCCAUGCUGUGUUAGCCUGGGAUCAGAUGACAGCAACAGAAGGACUAAAGUUCCUGGGACGGAAAUUCCUCUGUCCUUCUCCAAGGAUGUGCAGCACAACACAGUCCACAGCUCCUGUUCCCAGCUGCAGAGGGGUGGCAUCACCUCUGCUCUCAGGGUUCCUGAAAUGCCCUAGGCAUUUCAACGGCCAAAUCCACACACAGCUUAAAUGACGAUAGCAGAUGACACAUGAGAACACUCACUGAAGUCAGCCACUGCACACAGCAAUACAGUACUGUACUACAGCUCUCCACCAAUUCACUUCCCAGUCCGGUGUAAAAGGGAAGAAAACAAACCAGUUCUGAAGGAGAGUUUUUCAAGCAAAAGAAAUAUCCUACAACACGUGCUGCGAUUGCUACAAACCAUGCAGCUGGGGGUGAGGUGUUGACAUAUCAGGUUGACACCUGAUGUGAACAGCCAGAAAGGUGGCCUUGUUAGGAGAAAAUUACUGAAUGGAAGAAACUGCCUGCUGAAAAAUACUGACAAAGAAAAUAUCUGCCAGCCUGGGAACUGUGAGGCUGGAAACUAGAAACAUCCUUGAAAAGUGCAGCUGGCCUCUUUGAAGUACAGCUGUGGUACCUAGAAAUCAGAAGCAUCCUGAAAUACCACCAAUAAGCACAAAAACAAGGGACUGUAAAGGCAAUUUAUUGUCUGAAAAGGUGGAAAAUACUCUGGAAAAAACAAAAAUGGUCUGAAAGAACAGAAACCUCAUCAUCUAUUGGCUGUUACAGGUGAAAAAUAGGAAAUUAGAAAUAGAAACACCAGCAUCUAUUGGCUGCUUGCAGUGGUGGUGUCCUCCACUCUCUUAUGUCUCUAUGACAUAAAAAGGACUUAAUUUUUAAUCCAAAAUGGAGCCCCUCUCUCUGAGAACUUCCCGUGCUGCACAUACUUUUCCUUUCCUGAACAGGCUGAAUUCUCCACACAAACUUUCUACGAGAUCCUGCACUCUCAUUCGGGAUGCCUGGCUGACUCCAGACUCUGUGAUGCAGAUUAUCUUUGAAGUGAGACCCUGUUAUUUUCUUGGUCCCCUUCUGGGCCCACUUUUGGGCUUCAGUUUGUCCUCCCCUCCGGGAUGGUUUGGCCCCUUCUGAAAUCUCUCUAACUCACUUCAUACUGAUAUUAUAUAUCCUUAUAGGUAGUCAAUCAGAAGUACAUCAGCUGUUAUAUUGUUGGUAAGUUUGCUUCACUAAUGCUAAGUUUGUAGUAGCCUGUAAUAGUAUAUACCUACUUGGUGGUAUUUGUGGUAAUCUGUAAUAAAGUAGAGAAAUUUAGA